CAUGCAAGUCGAGCGGAAACGAUGGUAGCUUGCUACCAGGCGUCGAGCGGCGGACGGGUGAGUAAUACUUAGGAAUCUACCUAGUAGUGGGGGAUAGCUCGGGGAAACUCGAAUUAAUACCGCAUACGACCUACGGGAGAAAGGGGGCAGUUUACUGCUCUCGCUAUUAGAUGAGCCUAAGUCGGAUUAGCUAGAUGGUGGGGUAAAGGCCUACCAUGGCGACGAUCUGUAGCUGGUCUGAGAGGAUGAUCAGCCACACCGGGACUGAGACACGGCCCGGACUCCUACGGGAGGCAGCAGUGGGGAAUAUUGGACAAUGGGGGAAACCCUGAUCCAGCCAUGCCGCGUGUGUGAAGAAGGCCUUUUGGUUGUAAAGCACUUUAAGCAGUGAAGAAGACUCCGUGGUUAAUACCCACGGACGAUGACAUUAGCUGCAGAAUAAGCACCGGCUAACUCUGUGCCAGCAGCCGCGGUAAUACAGAGGGUGCAAGCGUUAAUCGGAAUUACUGGGCGUAAAGGGAGCGUAGGUGGCUCGAUAAGUCAGAUGUGAAAUCCCCGGGCUCAACCUGGGAACUGCAUCUGAUACUGUUGAGCUAGAGUAUGUGAGAGGAAGGUAGAAUUCCAGGUGUAGCGGUGAAAUGCGUAGAGAUCUGGAGGAAUACCGAUGGCGAAGGCAGCCUUCUGGCAUAAUACUGACACUGAGGCUC
RNAcentral lists this ribosomal RNA (707 nucleotides) under Psychrobacter sp. TB66. Its description in RNAcentral is "bacterial SSU rRNA". It matches the Rfam family "Bacterial small subunit ribosomal RNA", at positions 54 to 754 of the family's 1533-position model. The record is from RNAcentral. Lineage: Bacteria; Pseudomonadati; Pseudomonadota; Gammaproteobacteria; Moraxellales; Moraxellaceae.